Molecule: ribosomal RNA, 568 nt
Filed under: uncultured archaeon
Lineage: Archaea
Description: bacterial SSU rRNA
Rfam family: Archaeal small subunit ribosomal RNA
Source: RNAcentral
CGGGGUGCAGCAGGCGCGAAACCUUUACAAUGCACGCAAGUGUGAUAAGGGAAUCCUAAGUGCUCAUGUUUUACAUGGGCUUUUGCCAAGGGUAAAUACCUUGGAGAAUAAGUGGUGGGCAAGACUGGUGCCAGCAGCCGCGGUAACCCCAGCGCCACGAGUGGGGACCUCUUUUAUUGGGCCUAAAGCGUCCGUAGCUGGUUUUGUAAAUCUCUUGUGAAAUCGUCAAGCCCAACUUGACGGCAUGCGGGAGACACUGCAUUACUUGAGACCGGGAGACGUAAGGAGUAUUUCUGGGGAACCGGUAAAAUGGGAUAAUCCUAGAAAGACUACCUGUGGCGAAGGCGCCUUACGAGAACGGAUCUGACAGUGAGGGACGAAGGCUAGGGGAGCAAACCGGAUUAGAUACCCGAGUAGUCCUAGCAGUAAACGCUGUGAGCCAGGCGUUGCGCAUUCAUUAGGAAUGCGCAGUGUCGAAACGAAGGUGUUAAGCUCACCGCCUGGGAAGUAUGGUCGCAAGACUGAAACUUAAAGGAAUUGGCGGGGGAGCACAAGGGCGAAUUCGCGG